Bubalus bubalis (water buffalo) is the source of this 3277-nucleotide long non-coding RNA. RefSeq lists it as uncharacterized. The record is from RefSeq and is a predicted model, not a curated record. Lineage: Eukaryota; Metazoa; Chordata; Mammalia; Artiodactyla; Bovidae. The transcript has 2 exons.
ACCCUGGUCUCCUGCAGGCAGAUUCUUUACCCUUUGAGCUACAGGGAAGUCCUAACUGUUGUUUUGUUGUUUUUUUUUCAUGGUCAUUUAAAAAUUAACAGCUGUAUUGAGAUGUAAUUCAUGUACCACAAGAGCAUCCUUUUAAAGUCUCCAACUUGGUUGUUUUUAGUGUAUUCAGAGGCAAUCAUCUCUGUUACCUAGUUCCAAAAUAUUUUCAUUACCCUGCCCCACCCCUGCAAAAUAACCCCAUGCCCAUUAGCAAUCACUCCUGAUGCUUCUUCCUCCCAGCGCCUGGCAACCACCAAUUUGCUUUCUGUUUCUAAGAAUUUGCCUGCUCUGUGUGUUUCGUGUAAGAAGAAUUGUACAGUAUUUGUCCUCUUGUAUCUUUCUGGCUUAUUUCACCGAGCAUAAUGUUUUCAAGGUCCAUCCUUCUUUCUUUUUUGGACUUCACCACACAGCUUGCAGGGUCUUAGUUCCCCAACCAGGGACUGAACCUGUGCCCCCUGCAUUAGAAGCCCAAAGUCCCAAACACUGGUCUGCCAGGGAGUUCCUUCAAGGUAUUCUGGAGAAUAGCAGCACCUCAUUCCUUUUCAUGGCCAAGUAAUGCUCCACCAUAGGGACCCCCCCCACCCCAGGUGUUAUGUCUGCUUUCAUGAAUUGAUGGGCAUUUGCCUUAAUCCCUCUUUUCAGCUGUUGUGAAUAAUGCUUCUGUGAACAUUUGGGUGUAGGUUUUCUCGCACACAGAGAUUUUCAUUGUGAGAAGAUUAUGGACUGGGGAGUGGAUUCAGAGCCUUUGAGCAAGAUGGUCUGUGAGGAGGCCCGUGUUGUCUCCACCCUUAGGCCAGUCCAGAGCAAGCUUAACGUUCUUCUUUUCUAAGACCCUCUGAAGCAGAGUCUGAUCUUACUCCAUUUUGACAGAUGAGGAUACUCAGGUUCAACGAGGUGAAGUUAAGUAGCCCAGCUAGAAAAUGGUAGGUUUAGGUCAGCCAGCCGGCAGGCCACCUGCUCCUGGAGAUCGGGUGGUGGUGGUGGCCUCCCCGGGAGGCUGAGUGGUGCUGCAGAGUGGCAGGGAGUGGGAUAGAGUGGGGUGUGUGUGUGCACCGGUGUGAGCCGGGUGUGUUGGGAGGGGAGGCCUUGUCCAGGCCUCAGGGGCAGGACCUGCCGUGCAGCUGCAACAGUGGAGAGAAGCCUGAGCUGGAGUCAGUGAGAGCCAGUUGGAUUCUUGGCACCAUCUCUGUGACCUUGGGCAGAUCUUGUCUCCUCUGAACUUGAACUUCCUCGUCCAGAACCUGGGGCUCUUCUCCCAGCCUCCUGCCUGCCUGAAGGCUGAAAUGAGCAAGAAGCAGGAAGAGUCUGGCACUGACCUGCCCUCAGCAUCAGUGGCCGCCUCCAGCACGUCCCUUCCUCAUUCUGCCUGCGCAUCACCUUCAAGCCACUGAGGCUUGCCCGGGUCCUUGAGGUCACUCGGGUGGCCUCUCCUAUCUGGGCCUGUUUCUGUUCCAGUGGCAGAGCCGGCUGUCCCCUUUAUCAGUGACUUGCAGCUUACCGGCGUUUUGUGUAAAGCUUGUCAUUGCCAGUUAGGAAAUAAAGAUAGAAACCUCCCCUUUGGAGUUGGCAUUGUGCUGACUUGCUCUUGUUCUGACUCCAGUAUUUUGCUGGAUUGUUAUCAAUCAGUCACUUUUUUUCCCCCCAAGUGUGACAAGCACAUUUGUCUUAAAAUGAGAAGCUAGGCUUUUAUGUGAUGCAAGUCAGAUGAUUUUUCCUUAGACUAAGAAACCUGCCCUUACCUCUAUCAGAGAAUGAUCUGAUGUGUUCUGUUUUGUCCUGACCUUUGAGGACAUAAGAGAUGUGGGUUCAGUCCCUGGGUCGGGAAGAUCCCCUGGAGGAGGGCAUGGCAACCCACGCCAGUAUCCUUGCCUCGAGAAUCCCAUGGACAGAGGAGCCUGGUGGCCUACGGUCCAUAGGGUUACAAUGAGUUGGACACGACUAGAGUGACGCAUGAGGACACAGGGGACUUCGGUGUACUGUCCUUCCUCUGCGUAGUUUCUGCCCCUUUGCCUCCAGGCAGCAGCUGUUGGCUUGGGGCUGUACUUAUGAGCUCAGAUCAUGGAGUCCAGUCACUGUUCAUUUAUAUAACUGGUCAGGCCCAAGGGUCUCCUUCCGAGCAGGAAGGGACCUUAAGGAUCACCUCAUCCAAACCUUGCCCUUUGCAGAUACUGAAAGUGAGGCCCCAAGAAGGGAAGCCACGUGCCCUCGGUCACAUAGGUGUUCACAAUGUAAGCCUAGCUUCCUGGCUCCCCCAAGACACUGUCUUUCUUCCAAACAGUAAAGCUCCCGACAGUGAGCAUGCCGUGGGGCCUUCAGGGAGCAUACCUAUCUUUGACCCGUUUCUCUAGCAGAUGCAGAACUGGUUUUCUGGAGGUGAAUUCUGUCACAUGCUUGGCGAUCUGCUGGGGAGAAUUCCAUGCUUUCUGCGGAAGAGUUGGACGUGUCCGCUGGAGUCUGGCGUCUCUGCACUUUUUGGCCAUCUGGGGAGAGAUUGAGCAUGCUUAGAUCCUGAAGGUGUUGGCUGCCAGAUGGUCCUCACCUGUACCCCCAGAUAUUGCAUUUAUAUCUAAUAGAGCAGGGGUUCCCCAACCUCCAGAGUCUAAGACCUGACGGUCCGAGGUGGAGCUGAUGUCAUAGGAACAGCAAUGAAGUGCCCAAUAUGUGUCAUGUGCUUGAAUCAUCCCAAAACUAUCACCCCUCCCAGUGCAUGGAAAAUAUGUCUUCCACGAAACCAAAAGGGUUGGGGACCACUGUCAUAGAGAACCCAGCCCAGCAACCAAAACUGGGGGCGCUGAGUUGGGAAAGAAAAAGAGUGGUGUUUCUUUUAGAAUAAAACUUGCUGAUGUCGUUUUGAAAGUCAUUGUCUUACUCAUCCUUGCUGGAGAUAAGUCACAUAAUGGGUGGUAUCUGGGGUGCUGUUUCCCCCGUGAGAGCACAGCGAAGUGAACCUUGUGUGGGCUGGUUGGUUAAAAACCCAGAAGCCAUGGGUUGGAAACAACCGAAAUGUGAAGCAUUGGGGGAGCUGCUGAAACCGUGCGCUGCCCUGAGGUCAUCACAGAUGCUUUGAAAGAAUGCUCUGCGAGCUGGAAAGAUGUUCAUCACAUAAGAUACUUGAAGGUAUGAGCUACAAAAUAAGGUAAAGCAGAAACAUUCAACCUGACUUCAAACUCAAAAACGUGUUUUGCAAGGAUACAGCACAACACCAUAGUGUGUUUUGUUUUUUUUUAAA